CAAUAGCGUAUAUUAAAGUUGUUGCAGUUAAAAAGCUCGUAGUCGGAUUUUGGUACCAAGCCGAACGGUCUGCCGAACGGUAUGCACUGUUUAGCGGGUACUUCCUUCCGGAAGCCCGUGCUCUCCUUAAUUGGAUGGCACGGUGAGUCCGGAUCAUUUACUUUGAAAAAAUUAGAGUGUUCAAAGCAGGCCUAUGCUCUGAAUAGCUUAGCAUGGAAUAAUAGAAUAGGACUUCGGUACUAUUUUGUUGGUUUCUAGGACCGAAGUAAUGAUUAAUAGGGACAGUUGGGGGCAUUUAUAUUCCAUUGUCAGAGGUGAAAUUCUUGGAUUAACGGAAGAUAAACUACUGCGAAAGCAUCUGCCAAGGAUGUUUUCAUUGAUCAAGAACGAAAGUUAGGGGAUCGAAGACGAUCAGAUACCAU
RNAcentral lists this ribosomal RNA (422 nucleotides) under uncultured eukaryote. RNAcentral's name for it is "SSU rRNA". It matches the Rfam family "Eukaryotic small subunit ribosomal RNA", at positions 592 to 1018 of the family's 1831-position model. The record is from RNAcentral.